CAUAGGUUUGGUCCUGGCCUUCCUGUUGUCUUUUAACAAACUUACACAUGCAAGUAUCCUCAUCCCAGUGAGAAUGCCCUCCAAGUCAGUAAGACUAAGAGGAGCUGGUAUCAAGCACACACCCGUAGCUCACGACACCUUGCUUAACCACACCCCCACGGGAUACAGCAGUGAUAAAAAUUAAGCUAUAAACGAAAGUUUGACUAAGUUAUGUUAAUUAGGGUUGGUAAAUUUCGUGCCAGCCACCGCGGCCAUACGAUUAACCCAAGCUAACGGGAAUACGGCGUAAAAAGUGUUUAAGCGCCACACCAAAUAGAGUUAAACUUUAAUUAAGCUGUAAAAAGCCAUAAUUAUUGUAAAAAUAAAUAACGAAAGUAACUCUACAGCAGCUGACACACCAUAGCUAAGACCCAAACUGGGAUUAGAUACCCCACUAUGCUUAGCCCUAAACACAGAUAAUUAUAUAAACAAAAUUAUUCGCCAGAGUACUACUAGCAACAGCUUAAAACUCAAAGGACUUGGCGGUGCUUCAUAUCCCUCUAGAGGAGCCUGUUCUAUAAUCGAUAAACCCCGAUAAACCUCACCAAUUCUUGCUAAUACAGUCUAUAUACCGCCAUCUUCAGCAAACCCUAAAAAGGAGUAAAAGUAAGCGUAAUCAUAGCACAUAAAAAAGUUAGGUCAAGGUGUAACCUAUGAAGUGG
This 701-nucleotide ribosomal RNA is filed under the name Tragelaphus eurycerus (bongo). Its description in RNAcentral is "partial 12S ribosomal RNA". It matches the Rfam family "Bacterial small subunit ribosomal RNA", at positions 9 to 1212 of the family's 1533-position model. The record is from RNAcentral. Lineage: Eukaryota; Metazoa; Chordata; Mammalia; Artiodactyla; Bovidae.